This 195-nucleotide ribosomal RNA is filed under the name uncultured bacterium. RNAcentral's name for it is "partial 16S ribosomal RNA". It matches the Rfam family "Bacterial small subunit ribosomal RNA", at positions 307 to 526 of the family's 1533-position model. The record is from RNAcentral.
GCCUCCCUCCGCGCCAUCAGCCUCCUACGGGAGGCAGCAGUGGGGAAGUUUUGCGCAAUGGGGGAAACCCUGACGCAGCAACGCCGCGUGGAGGAUGAAGCCCUUGGGGUGUAAACGUCCUUUCGAUGGGGAAGAGUUAUGACGGUACCCAUAGAAGAAGCCCGGCUAACUUCGUGCCAGCAGCCGCGGUAAUAC